CGGCGGACGGCUGAGUAACGCGUAGGAACGUACCCCAAACUGAGGGAUAAGCACCAGAAAUGGUGUCUAAUACCGCAUGUGGUCUUCGGAUUAAAGCUUCGGCGGUUUGGGAGCGGCCUGCGUAUGAUUAGCUUGUUGGUAGGGUAAUGGCCUACCAAGGCGACGAUCAUUAGCUGGUCUGAGAGGAUGAUCAGCCAGACUGGGACUGAGAACGGCCCAG
Molecule: ribosomal RNA, 220 nt
Filed under: uncultured bacterium
Lineage: Bacteria
Description: partial 16S ribosomal RNA
Rfam family: Bacterial small subunit ribosomal RNA
Source: RNAcentral